AACGAACGCUGGCGGCAUGCCUAACACAUGCCAGUCGAACGAGACCUUCGGGUCUAGUGGCGCACGGGUGCGUAACGCGUGGGAACCUGCCCUUAGGUUCGGAAUAACUCCCCGAAAGGGGUGCUAAUACCGGAUAAUGUCUUCGGACCAAAGAUUUAUCGCCUUUGGAUGGGCCCGCGUUGGAUUAGCUAGUUGGUAGGGUAAAAGCCUACCAAGGCGACGAUCCAUAGCUGGUCUGAGAGGAUGAUCAGCCACACUGGGACUGAGACACGGCCCAGACUCCUACGGGAGGCAGCAGUGGGGAAUAUUGGACAAUGGGCGAAAGCCUGAUCCAGCAAUGCCGCGUGAGUGAUGAAGGCCUUAGGGUUGUAAAGCUCUUUUACCCGGGAUGAUAAUGACAGUACAGGGAGAAUAAGCUCCGGCUAACUCCGUG
Molecule: ribosomal RNA, 433 nt
Filed under: uncultured bacterium
Lineage: Bacteria
Description: partial 16S ribosomal RNA
Rfam family: Bacterial small subunit ribosomal RNA
Source: RNAcentral